Molecule: long non-coding RNA, 579 nt
Filed under: Homo sapiens (human)
Lineage: Eukaryota; Metazoa; Chordata; Mammalia; Primates; Hominidae
Description: non-protein coding lnc-SPTBN5-4:1
Source: RNAcentral
GCGUGCCUCCAUCCCAGUGCCCCGAUGACCAUCUGGUCAGCCCUCCCAACCUCCCUUCCAGGGGGCUUACCAGCAAAGCCAUAUUCGGCUAGGAAUUUGGAAUUCACAACCUUUAUUAACCCCUGGCAAAACUUCCCGUUUGCAUGUCAAAUCACAUUGAAGCCUGAAAAUUAGCUUUUCUUACUGGUUUUUCCAAUAAGUAAUAGCAAAGCCCACUUAUCAUACUUAAACUACAGUAAAGAAAAGAGGUGGUUCUCUGCAGUGAUCGUUUAGUGUGGCCCUCAAACAUUAAAUAUCCCGAGGUCUCCUUGGUGGGUGGCAGGAUUUAAAUUCAAUCAAAUCCUGUCCUAGUGUGUGCAGUGUCUUCGGCCCUGUGGACACAGGUGAAUGAGGGACCAGCCCUGCCCUGGGCUGUUGAGAAGAGAUCAGUCCACCCAGAGUUAGACAUUGUUUUUGUAGAAAACAGGCAUUUAUUAUGUCUAGGGUUUUGUGUUUUUUUUUUUUCCUUACAGGAUAAAAGCCUUUAUACAGAAACAAAAUGGAACCUUUCAUAUAAAACCUUUUCUUUAAAGGCUGUGU